RNAcentral lists this long non-coding RNA (672 nucleotides) under Canis lupus familiaris (dog). RNAcentral's name for it is "lncRNA (ENSCAFG00030007978.1)". The record is from RNAcentral. Lineage: Eukaryota; Metazoa; Chordata; Mammalia; Carnivora; Canidae.
AUGCUGGCACACAGCAGGCAGUACCUCUGUGGAAAUGAGCAGGCCUCACAGGAGUGGCGUCCCACCCUGGGUGCUCCCCAGAGGUGGCAUGAUGCACCAGCUCCUGCAGCUGCCACCCCUGGCACAGACUGCGGCUUCAGUGAGGAACAGAGGAUCUCACCAUCUGUAGGUUGGGAGUCUGAGGUCCAGGUGUCAAGGUUGGGUUCUUCUGAGGCCUCUCUCCUCUGUGCACCUGCGUCCUCUCUGCCUGCGCAUAAACCUGUCACAGAGGUUGGCUGCCUGGUGGCCUCACUCAGUGUGCUCCCUCCGUACAGGCCCCACCGCCCAAGCAGGUGCCCUCAGGGUGCCCAGGGGUCGGGGCACUGGGAGGGAGGCACUCUCCCGCAGGGACCCCUUCCCUGGACCCAGGGCCCAGGCACCCUUGCUCAAAACGAGCUAAUAAUGGACAGAUUUUGUGUAAGAAGAAGCUCAUGUCAAGCACGCCUUUGUUUCUCAUGCUAUGAAUUCUCGUUUACACCCUCACAGGAAGCGGAUGGUAACCCGACUGUGUUGGUACUCGGCAGACCUAGGCAGAAGGUGCUCCUGUCGCUGUCGGGGUCGACAAACCUGAGCUCUGCCUCCAGCACCAGCCCGGAGAACUCCUUGUUGCCCAAGGUUUCAAAGGAAGAAUAA